CACGUAGGGGGCAAGCGUUGUCCGGAUUUAUUGGGCGUAAAGAGCUCGUAGGCGGUUCGCUAAGUCGGGUGUGAAACCUCCAGGCUCAACCUGGAGACGCCACCUGAUACUGGUGUGACUCGAGUCCGGUAGGGGAGCGUGGAAUUCCUGGUGUAGCGGUGAAAUGCGCAGAUAUCAGGAGGAACACCGGUGGCGAAGGCGGGACUCUGGGCCGAUACUGACGCUGAGGAGCGAAAGCGUGGGGAGCAAACAGG
This 254-nucleotide ribosomal RNA is filed under the name uncultured bacterium. RNAcentral describes it as "partial 16S ribosomal RNA". It matches the Rfam family "Bacterial small subunit ribosomal RNA", at positions 524 to 776 of the family's 1533-position model. The record is from RNAcentral.